This 484-nucleotide ribosomal RNA is filed under the name uncultured bacterium. RNAcentral's name for it is "partial 16S ribosomal RNA". It matches the Rfam family "Bacterial small subunit ribosomal RNA", at positions 30 to 507 of the family's 1533-position model. The record is from RNAcentral.
AUUGAACGCUGGCGGCAGGCCUAACACAUGCAAGUCGAGCGGAUGAAGGGAGCUUGCUCCUGGAUUCAGCGGCGGACGGGUGAGUAAUGCCUAGGAAUCUGCCUGGUAGUGGGGGAUAACGUCCGGAAACGGGCGCUAAUACCGCAUACGUCCUGAGGGAGAAAGUGGGGGAUCUUCGGACCUCACGCUAUCAGAUGAGCCUAGGUCGGAUUAGCUAGUUGGUGGGGUAAAGGCCUACCAAGGCGACGAUCCGUAACUGGUCUGAGAGGAUGAUCAGUCACACUGGAACUGAGACACGGUCCAGACUCCUACGGGAGGCAGCAGUGGGGAAUAUUGGACAAUGGGCGAAAGCCUGAUCCAGCCAGGCCGAGUGUGUGAAGAAGGUCUUCGGAUUGUAAAGAACUUUAAGUUGGGAGGAAGGGCAGUAAGUUAAUACCUUGCUGUUUUGACGUUACCAACAGAAUAAGCACCGGCUAACUUCGUG